RNAcentral lists this ribosomal RNA (331 nucleotides) under uncultured soil bacterium. RNAcentral's name for it is "bacterial SSU rRNA". It matches the Rfam family "Bacterial small subunit ribosomal RNA", at positions 27 to 369 of the family's 1533-position model. The record is from RNAcentral.
GGAUUGAACGCUGGCGGCAUGCCUAACACAUGCAAGUCGAACGGGAGUAGCAAUACUCUAGUGGCGGACGGGUGAGGAAUACGUAGGAAUUUGCCCUUAAGUGGGGGAUAACCCGGGGAAACCCGGAUUAAUACCGCAUGACCUCGAAAGAGCAAAGUGGGGGAUCGCAAGACCUCACGCUUUUGGAGAAGCCUACGUCGGAUUAGCUAGUUGGUGAGGUAAUGGCUCACCAAGGCGACGAUCCGUAACUGGUCUGAGAGGAUGAUCAGUCACACCGGAACUGAGACACGGUCCGGACUCCUACGGGAGGCAGCAGGUGGGAAUAUUGGAC